AGUCGAGUCAGUUCCUCUCUGACCUUGUAGGCGAGAGGCUGGUUGUCCGCUUUUUCUCCUCAGGAUUGGCAGCCAGCCAGCCGUAGGAUUAAACAAGGGGAAAAAGUAUUUACAUUACCUGUGUGUUCAUUGACUCAGUGUGACCCAUCACUGUCGAGGGAGGAAAAGUGUGUGAGUGUGGGUGUCUUCAAGUGGUUUGUGGGAGCAACAGCAGUGACAAGGAGCUGAGAAGAGGAGAGAAGAGAUGUCAACUUCUCUUGCCCCUCGCCGUGUUGAGAUGUGGAGGAGAUGGCGGCUCGUGGUGGUCGUACUCAUAUUAUCUUUGUUUGAAAACCAUGUCAGCGCCUUCGAUAUCAUCAGCACCUUGAGGCUACGAAAGUGUUUUUGCGACAAGUUCCAGGCGUGGGAUGGUACCAAGUGCCUCGACAACAUCCCCACAGCUCUCCCCAUUUAUAAUCACACCUUCGAUGGACCCCAAAAACAUGUAAUUGACGUGCAGAGGUAUGCAAAGGGCUAUAACACAAGCUUGUUUGAAAAUGUGACAGUUCAAGAUAUACACUGUUCCAAGGGUCUUUACCGCAGUACUCUCUCCGGUGACAUCCUUCUACUGCCCGACGGUCGGCUGCUGCGGCUGAAUACUAACACUGCUCUACCAGCGGAGAGUUUCUGUGUCCUGCACCUUUGGAAAAACGGCAUCAUGUCCUUUGAUGCUCAUGUCUGCCUACGACCCCCGGCUGUACCACGCUGCUGCCCGAUGGACCACCUUCUGGGGCGGGAUGGAUCAUGCUACUCCAAGAAGACCCUCAAGGCACCACCGAUCCUGAUAGGCGAGCAUGAGAUGGACUGGAACAGCUUGGAUGGUGAUAUGAUACCUCAAACGUGUGAAGAGCAUGAAUACCACCACUAUGUCCAUUUGCGAGAGGACGGGGGGCAGUUACGAGACACUCAUCCAACGGCUACACUAAACUGGAGCCCUCCGGUGUGGACAGCAUCCCUGACCUAUGCCACCAAGUACUGCGUAGCGAUGCAGGAAGGAGAGGCCGGUGAGUUGGAGUUCGUAGCGCAAAUUUGCUUCAAGGACUACUCAAAGUACCACGAGAAGCAGUGCGGGGCUGCUGCGUGUGUCCGUAAGUGUUGCCCAGAGAAUGCGCUGCUAUACCAUAGGGUGUGUGUGGAUGCCUUCUCCGAGGAGGAGAAAUGGCGCCCGUCCCAGAUACCAAAUCAGACGAUCAACAAAGAGUGGAAGAUUGUGACCGGUGAGCCUGGUUGUCCAAGCUUACCGCAUCAAGAGCCCAUGCACCUCCUGCCCAACGGCUUCCUGCAGCUGGCCGCUGACAUUCCCGCCGUGCCUCCCUCACAGUAUUGCGUUGAUAACCUCCUUGACGCAGAAGAGAACAUAGACAACAUAGCUCUCAUUUGUUCCUUGCCAGCCAAUACUGAAUGUCUCUGGCGUGAUAAGCUGAUAAAGGUCUUGAUGGGGGUGUCAUGUGUGUUCCUGGUGGUGACGCUGGGGGUGUACCUGGGUGUGGCUGAGCUCAGGGACCAAAUGUACGGCCGCUGCCUCAUCUCACUGGUGGCCGCGAUGCUCACAGCCUACAUCGGCCUCAUGAUCGACGCUAGAUACAUCCUCGAGGCUGAGUGCUAUGCUAAGGCAUUUAUCGUCCACCUGAGUAGCCUGGCCAUGUUCUUCUGGCUCAACGUGAUGUGCUUUGAUAUGUGGAAGAUUCUCAGAGGUUCAACAAGACAACACCAUAGUUUAGGAGUCUUCCUGUGGUACAGCGUGUAUGCCUGGGGUUGCUCUCUGGUGAUCAGCAUUGUCACUCUUGCCUUGGAUGUUGCCCCCCCUACUGCGAACCUCAUCCUCCCUGAGUACUACGAUGGGGCCUGCUGGUUCAAUGAAAAUGCAGCGUACUGGCUCUACUUCUCUGGCUUCAUCUUGGUGUUAGUAGUGAUUAACGUUGGAUUCUUCAUCCAUGUGGCCAUCACCCUCUAUAAGAAGAUUAAGCAGAGGUCGGAAUUCUUUGAGGCAGGCGGGAACCAGACUAACAAGACCACCAAGACCAAGCAGAGAGUGUGGCUGUUUGCGAAGCUGUUUGUGGUGAUGGGUGUGCUGUGGAUCACAGAUGUCCUCUCUGCCGUAGGGCACAGAAAAACAUGCACUUACUGGGUUUUGUCGGACAUUAUCAAUAGCCUGCAGGGAGUCUUCAUUUUUAUUGUAGCAGUGUGCAACAAGGACAAUCUGAAAAAGAUAAAGGACGCGUGGCGGCCACGACUAAAGGUCGUACGCAAUAGUAUCCCCAACUUGACCUCUCGCAGACCCACUCAGUCCAACACUCUGAGCACUUAUGACACUGAGGAUUCCAGGAAGACAUCUGUUACCUCCCUCCCUCGGAAGAUCUCCCAAGCUUCCACCAUCCUCUUUAGCUCUAGCAAGAAGUCUGCCACCCUAAACCUACAACCUGAUUCCUCCAUCAACCCCAAGGGUGAACGCAAGGGCUCCAAUGUGUCUAUUAAGGAUGUUAUUCCACUGUCAACCAUGCAAGAGUAAAGCUGAAAAGUGAAGGAGAGGAUGAGAAUUUAUAGUAAGUCAAUAUCACUAUCAUUGUUGUUUUCAUAUGUGCCAUUUGACUGUAGUAUAAUUAUAUGUCGACUAUGUAUUGCUUGAUCCAUAAGAUUUCCCACUGUCACACCACUGUUGAUAAGCUAGAGUAGAUUUCAAGGUAAGAAUUAGUCUGAAAUAAGUAAGCUAAGGUAUAAGUUAGAUAUUUUCAAUACAAGGGUUUGAUAAAUACCUUUUUAUGACAAUAGUUAACUUUAAGUUUAAUACCUUAGCUCACGUGCUCAGAAAAAAAUAUUCCAAGGUGGGAGCACUAAUUGGAAAGGUGCAUACAGUUUGGUAAAUAUAUUGUUACGAAACCUGCCUUGUCCUCCGGUUUCGCGUACACCCUGGCCUCCUGCAGCCAGCCACGGGUUCGUUGUGGGUGGCGGUGGUGACGAAUCCGUACCCCUAGUGACGAGCUGACCAGUGACUCACCUCCUUCUCCAGCCCUGCAUUACACCUCGCCCGGCCACGUGUCUCGCCCCCGCCCGCCACCCUCUCACGCGUGUCCCGCCAGGCCAGAGGGCAGCAUUUAAUCUACCAAUCUUUCUGCCUGGAGUAUUAUGUUGGUUGCUCCUAACAGAAGGACCAAAAAUUGCAGAGCCAUUACCUCUACAUAGAUAUACUUCCAUGGUAUAGUGGUUAACACGCCUAGCUAUGAAUCAAUGGGCCAAGGUUUGAAACCUGACUUUGGCAGUCAAUGUGCAGCUCACCCAGCGUCCUCCGUUUUGAACUGAUCAAUAAAUGGAUAUCUGGAGAAACCUAAGGAAGAGAAAUUGCAGUAACCUGGAAAUCACACUGACCCUGUGUCCUGUGUCCUGUGGUAAUAGAUCAGUGAGGCUGGGAUGAGUACCAGGUCAUGUGUAGUUUAGUGUAUGCCCCCAACUGUACGUUUACUUUGCCUUUGCUUUCAAAGUCCAUCAUUGUUUGUGUCUAAUACUCCUUUGUAUUUUUUAAUUUUUUUUUACAGAAAAGGAGACAGUUCAAGGACGUGAAAAAAAAAACAAUAAUGAAAAAAAAGCCCACUACUUACUGCUCCCAAAUAGAGUACAUAGGAGUGGCCAAAAAGAGAGGUCAAUUUCAGGAGGAGAGGUGUCCUGAUACCCUCCCCUUGAAAGAGUUCAAGUUGUAAGCACGAGGAAAUACAGAUGAAGGAAGAUUGUUCCAGAGUUUACCAGCGUGAGGGAUGAAAGAGUGAAGAUGCUGGUUAACUCUUGCGUAAAGGGUUUGGACAGUAUAAGGAUGAGCUUGAUUAGAAAGUCGUGUGAGGCGAGACCGCGGGAAAGGGGGAGGCAUGCAGUUAGCAAGUUCAGAAGAGCAAUUCGUGUAAAAAUAUCGAUAGAAGAUAGAGAGGCAACAUCGCGACGGAAUUUAAGAGGUAGAAGAUUAUCAGUAAGAGGAGGAGAGCUGAUGAGAUGAAAAGUCUUAGACUCCACUCUGUCCAAUAGAGCUGUGUGAGUGGAGCCCCCCCAUACGUGAAAUGCAUACUCCACACGAGGGCGGACAAGGCCCCUGUAUAUGGAUAGCAAUUGUUCGGGGGAGAAGAACUGGCGGAGACGAUACAGAACGCCCAACCUCGAGGAAGCUGAUUUAGUGAGAGAGGAGAUGUGAAGUUUCCAGUUAAGAUAUUGAGUUAAGGAUAGACCAAGGAUAUUUAGUGUUGAAGAAGGUGACAGCUGAGUGCUGUUGAAGAAUAGGGGAUAGAUGUAUGGAAGAUUGUGUCGAGUUGAUAGGUGGGGAAAUUGAGUUUUUGAGGCAUUGAAGGACACAAGGUUCCUUCUACCCCAAUUGGAAAUGAUAGCAAGGUCUGAGGUUAAGCGUUCUGCAGCGUUCAUGCCACCUUUGUUUGUUAUAGAGUUGUUUCUGUGUGACUGAUUUAAAAGCUGAUGUUGCUGUUUGCUAGUAGAAUUUCUUCUUUUCUGUUUAUAAGGCCUAGUGUGUAUUAACUCUCUUGACCCUUUGUCUGUGUGUAAUUUAGGUACUUGUAAUCUGCUGUCAUUGUAAUUUGGUGGAACAGCUUAAUGUCUUAAUAUUGUGUUUGUGUUUUCACCAUUAAGUCUUUCACAAAAUUAUUCCUCACCAAGUAUUUCUAUUAAACUCACCAUUUUAUAUCCAAAUCUUAUGUAGAUCAUGUAUUUUAUUUUGUUUAGUUUACAGUCCACAUGCUAUUGAUUUAGUAUGUAAUUUCAUAUUGACUUGAAUAACCUAUUUUAACCUGUUCAUUUAUUGUUACUCUACAGGAGACAAACUGAAUGCAAGAAAUAGAAAAGUAUGUAAAAAUGCUCCUGUUAAGAGAAAACAGGACCUUGUCAGAGAAAAGUUGUACAAAACGACCAAUGCCAGUAACUAGUUUAAUGUGUAAUCAUCAUGUAAUUUUCUACCUUUGAUAAGCUAUUUUUGUUUUAUCAAAUGUGGUGCCUUCUCCAAAAAUUCACAUUCUCUUGAUGAUCAA
RNA transcript from Eriocheir sinensis (Chinese mitten crab), 5051 nucleotides. It is a transcript of the gene named probable G-protein coupled receptor Mth-like 3, with no coding region annotated. Lineage: Eukaryota; Metazoa; Arthropoda; Malacostraca; Decapoda; Varunidae. The record is from RefSeq and is a predicted model, not a curated record. The transcript has 10 exons.